UACGUAGGUGGCAAGCGUUAUCCGGAAUUACUGGGCGUAAAGCGCACGCAGGCGGUCUUUUAAGUUUGACGUGAAAGCUCCCGGCUUAACUGGGAGAGGUCGUUGAAGACUGGAAGACUUGAGGCAAUGAGAGGGGUGUAGAAUUCCCGGUGUAGCGGUGAAAUGCGUAGAGAUCGGGAGGAACACCGGUGGCGAAGGCGGGUCUCUGGGCAGUAACUGACGCUGAGGAGCGAAAGCGUGGGGAGCGAACAGG
Molecule: ribosomal RNA, 253 nt
Filed under: uncultured bacterium
Lineage: Bacteria
Description: partial 16S ribosomal RNA
Rfam family: Bacterial small subunit ribosomal RNA
Source: RNAcentral